GUGCUUGCACCGGGUGGAUGAGUGGCGAACGGGUGAGUAAUACGUGAGUGACCUGCCUUUGACUCUGGGAUAAGCCUGGGAAACUGGGUCUAAUACCGGAUGCGACUACUGCCCGCAUGGGCUGGUGGUGGAAAGGGUUAUGUACUGGUCUUAGAUGGGCUCACGGCCUAUCAGCUGGUUGGUGGGGUAAUGGCCUACCAAGGCGACGACGGGUAGCCGGCCUGAGAGGGUGACCGGCCACACUGGGACUGAGACACGGCCCAGACUCCUACGGGAGGCAGCAGUGGGGAAUAUUGCACAAUGGGCGCAAGCCUGAUGCAGCGACGCCGCGUGAGGGAUGACGGCCUUCGGGUUGUAAACCUCUUUCAGCAGGGAAGAAGCGGAAGUGACGGUACCUGCAGAAGAAGCGCCGGCUAACUACGUGCCAGCAGCCGCGGUAAUACGUAGGGCGCAAGCGUUGUCCGGAAUUAUUGGGCGUAAAGAGCUCGUAGGCGGCUUGUCGCGUCUGCUGUGAAAGCCCGGGGCUUAACUCCGGGUGUGCAGUGGGUACGGGCAGGCUAGAGUGCAGUAGGGGUAACUGGAAUUCCUGGUGUAGCGGUGAAAUGCGCAGAUAUCAGGAGGAACACCGAUGGCGAAGGCAGGUUACUGGGCUGUUACUGACGCUGAGGAGCGAAAGCAUGGGGAGCGAACAGGAUUAGAUACCCUGGUAGUCCAUGCCGUAAACGUUGGGCACUAGGUGUGGGGGACAUUCCACGUUUUCCGCGCCGUAGCUAACGCAUUAAGUGCCCCGCCUGGGGAGUACGGCCGCAAGGCUAAAACUCAAAGGAAUUGACGGGGGCCCGCACAAGCGGCGGAGCAUGCGGAUUAAUUCGAUGCAACGCGAAGAACCUUACCAAGGCUUGACAUACACCGGAUCGUUCCAGAGAUGGUUCUUCCCUUUUGGGCUGGUGUACAGGUGGUGCAUGGUUGUCGUCAGCUCGUGUCGUGAG
Molecule: ribosomal RNA, 989 nt
Filed under: Rothia kristinae
Lineage: Bacteria; Bacillati; Actinomycetota; Actinomycetes; Micrococcales; Micrococcaceae
Description: bacterial SSU rRNA
Rfam family: Bacterial small subunit ribosomal RNA
Source: RNAcentral